RNAcentral lists this ribosomal RNA (613 nucleotides) under uncultured bacterium. Its description in RNAcentral is "bacterial SSU rRNA". It matches the Rfam family "Bacterial small subunit ribosomal RNA", at positions 338 to 945 of the family's 1533-position model. The record is from RNAcentral.
CCUACGGGAGGCAGCAGUGGGGAAUAUUGCGCAAUGGGGGAAACCCUGACGCAGCAACGCCGCGUGAGUGAGGAAGGACUUCGGUCUGUAAAGCUCUGUUAAUGUGGAAAAAUGGUAGUUGGUCUAAUAGGCCGAUUAUUUGAUGGUACACAUAGAGGAAGCACCGGCUAACUUCGUGCCAGCAGCCGCGGUAAUACGAAGGGUGCAAGCGUUGUUCGGAUUUAUUGGGCGUAAAGCGCGCGUAGGCGGACCUGUAAGUCAGAUGUGAAAUCUCGGGGCUCAACCUCGAAACUGCGUCUGAAACUGCAGGUCUAGAAUCUCGGAGGGGGAAGGGGAAUUUCGCAUGUAGGGGUAAAAUCCGUAGAUAUGCGAAGGAACACCAGAGGCGAAGGCGCCUUCCUGGACGAGUAUUGACGCUGAGGCGCGAAAGCGUGGGGAUCAAACAGGAUUAGAUACCCUGGUAGUCCACGCUGUAAACUAUGAACACUAGGUAUUGGAGGAUUUGACCCCUUCAGUGCCGUAGCUAACGCGUUAAGUGUUCCGCCUGGGAAGUCGGUCGCAAGACUAAACUUNAAAGAUUGNGNGNGNGNGNGCGAGCGACGACGAGGAGAGG